UGAAGAAAAUCAUAAUAUGGUGUAUGUC
This 28-nucleotide small RNA is filed under the name Bombyx mori (domestic silkworm). RNAcentral's name for it is "ovarian small RNA-7947". Lineage: Eukaryota; Metazoa; Arthropoda; Insecta; Lepidoptera; Bombycidae. The record is from RNAcentral.